AGUUAAGGAAGGCAGUCUAAGUGCGCGACGUCCUGUCGCGACGACUGCAUGACCAACAUCCUGUUGG
This is a non-coding RNA of Sporosarcina sp. HYO08, 67 nucleotides long. The record is from Rfam. NCBI's taxonomy places the organism in Bacteria, Bacillati, Bacillota, Bacilli, Caryophanales, Caryophanaceae.